Molecule: transfer RNA, 76 nt
Filed under: Campylobacter sp.
Lineage: Bacteria; Pseudomonadati; Campylobacterota; Epsilonproteobacteria; Campylobacterales; Campylobacteraceae
Also listed under: 14 other names
Description: tRNA-Thr
Rfam family: tRNA
About the family: Transfer RNA (tRNA) molecules are approximately 80 nucleotides in length. Their secondary structure includes four short double-helical elements and three loops (D, anti-codon, and T loops).
Source: RNAcentral
GCUGGUGUAGCUCAGUUGGUAGAGCUACUGCCUUGUAAGCAGUAGGUCGGCGGUUCAAGUCCGUUCACCAGCUCCA